AGAUCAACCUGGCAGGGGAGACCACGGGGUCACGAAUGUGAUUUCCCGGGGUGAGGCCGGCCCUGUGCACUCCGGGCAGGCUGACCCCUGUGAGUUUCCCCACAUCCGGGAAAUGACUGCACAGUUUUGUGGCAAUGGGGAGCUGUGUUCUUGCUUUCCCCCU
Alligator mississippiensis (American alligator) is the source of this 163-nucleotide small nuclear RNA. It matches the Rfam family "U1 spliceosomal RNA". Rfam says of the family: U1 is a small nuclear RNA (snRNA) component of the spliceosome (involved in pre-mRNA splicing). Its 5' end forms complementary base pairs with the 5' splice junction, thus defining the 5' donor site of an intron. There are significant differences in sequence and secondary structure between metazoan and yeast U1 snRNAs, the latter being much longer (568 nucleotides as compared to 164 nucleotides in human). Lineage: Eukaryota; Metazoa; Chordata; Crocodylia; Alligatoridae. The record is from Rfam.